Long non-coding RNA from Tribolium castaneum (red flour beetle), 954 nucleotides. RefSeq lists it as uncharacterized. Lineage: Eukaryota; Metazoa; Arthropoda; Insecta; Coleoptera; Tenebrionidae. The transcript is spliced from 2 exons. The record is from RefSeq and is a predicted model, not a curated record.
ACAGUCCGGGACAUUUCUAUUUGGACAUAAAAAAUUUGAAUUUUCUGACAUUUAUACGUGUAUUCAGCGUCUGUGUGAACAAAAAAUGUUCUCUCUCUCAUUCUAUGGUUCUUGAGCUUUAAUAACAGGGACAUUUUUUAAAUUGGUAGCAUUAGAAAAUGACAGUAAACAGCUGACUGAUGUAAACAAUAACACAAUAACAAAGGAAAUGUUAUAAUUUUAAUCUAUAUAACCAGUGGCUGCUUUAAAAGUGUGUACUAACGGGAUAAUAACAUAUUUACGCAAGUAUUUUUGAAGGCAGAAACAUUACUUGUCAUAUAACAACUACUCAGAUUAUAUGAUGAGACGGGAAUGGCACAAUACAGAAUUGCAGUCAGUGAUUGUGAUGGAGAAAGCUGCUGUGAAGUACUGACAGUACUGACUAUCGCUGGUUGUACGAUUUGUGCAAUUUGUGAUAUAUUUUGUGUGAAAAACUGGAAAAGAAAGUGCAUCACUGCAUAACCUCACUUAUCGCAGUUUUGCACUUUUUGAUGAUGGGAAUUGCGGUUCAAGUAAUUAUGAGUUAUAGAUGGAGAGCCCUGUUUACUUCAAACUGAAGCCUUUUGGGUCCACUUUGUUCGUUAUUUCCUGGCAGCCACUCUUGUUUCAAGCAGAGUGGGUGUAAAGUUAAAAAUAAUCCCGUAAAAUUGUUAAUAUAACUCCUUUGCACUGGCAUGGGGUAUUUGAAAACUUACGUUUAACAAAUACGUCACAAAGUCUCAGCCAUCGUUGAAAAACAUAAUAAGGGCUUUAUAACAAGAAGCGCUUUCUGAUUUUACUGUGGACGUGUGGAAGAAUAGUGUGAAAUAUUGCGAAAAACCAACUUUUACUCUUGUUUACAUUUUUGUACGUCUCUAUCUGAGAGUAGUCUCUUGUAUAAAAAAUAUAGCCUACUAAUAAAGGAAAUUAAAGUGU